RNAcentral lists this unclassified non-coding RNA (368 nucleotides) under uncultured fungus. Its description in RNAcentral is "partial contains small subunit ribosomal RNA, internal transcribed spacer 1, and 5.8S ribosomal RNA". The stretch from base 1 to 73 matches the Rfam family "Eukaryotic small subunit ribosomal RNA", at positions 1759 to 1831 of the family's 1831-position model. The record is from RNAcentral. Lineage: Eukaryota; Fungi.
GCAAACUUGGUCAUUUAGAGGAAGUAAAAGUCGUAACAAGGUUUCCGUAGGUGAACCUGCGGAAGGAUCAUUAUUGAAUAAACUUGAUGGAUUGUUGCUGGCUCCUAGAGCAGGUGCACGUCUGUCAUUUUUAUCUUUCCAACAUGUGCACAUGCAUAGACCUGAACACAUUUUUUGAUCAAACGCUUGCGGUUGGUCCUUGGGAAGUUGCUGCUCUUCUGUGGCUCUUUCUGUAGUUCAGGUUCUAUGAUUUUUAUAUACUCCAAUGCAUGUUAAUGAACGCUAUCAAGGGUUUUCAAAGCCCAUAAUUUUAUAAUACAACUUUCAGCAACGGAUCUCUUGGCUCUCGCAUCGAUGAAGAACGCAGC